GCAGACACAUUCCAGCCAAUCAGCAGCAGACCCUCCCUCCCAGACCCUCCCAUCUCCUGGACAGCAUCCAUUUUGAAGCUGCAUUCUUAGUGAGCUGUCCAGGAGGUGGGAGGGUCUGGGAGGGAGGGUCUGCUGCUGAUUGGCUGGAAUGUGUCUG
Molecule: non-coding RNA, 157 nt
Organism: Pelobates cultripes (western spadefoot toad)
Lineage: Eukaryota; Metazoa; Chordata; Amphibia; Anura; Pelobatidae
Source: the annotation of a GenBank genome assembly